CAUCCGGGUCCGCGCAAGGUAGGGUUCCGAACCCGGUCAGGCCUUAACAGGAGCAGCCGUAAGGAGCACCGCUUGUGCCGCGGGUCGCCCGGGUGUCG
RNAcentral lists this signal recognition particle RNA (98 nucleotides) under Candidatus Omnitrophota bacterium. Its description in RNAcentral is "signal recognition particle sRNA small type". It matches the Rfam family "Bacterial small signal recognition particle RNA". Rfam says of the family: The signal recognition particle (SRP) is a universally conserved ribonucleoprotein involved in the co-translational targeting of proteins to membranes. Archaeal SRP consists of a 7S RNA and homologues of the eukaryotic SRP19 and SRP54 proteins. The record is from RNAcentral. Lineage: Bacteria; Pseudomonadati; Candidatus Omnitrophota.